GAUGAACGCUGGCGGCGUGCCUAAUACAUGCAAGUCGAGCGAACAGACGAGGAGCUUGCUCCUCUGACGUUAGCGGCGGACGGGUGAGUAACACGUGGAUAACCUACCUAUAAGACUGGGAUAACUUCGGGAAACCGGAGCUAAUACCGGAUAAUAUAUUGAACCGCAUGGUUCAAUAGUGAAAGACGGCUUUGCUGUCACUUAUAGAUGGAUCCGCGCCGCAUUAGCUAGUUGGUAAGGUAACGGCUUACCAAGGCAACGAUGCGUAGCCGACCUGAGAGGGUGAUCGGCCACACUGGAACGGAGACACGGUCCAGACUCCUACGAGAGGCAGCAGUAGGGAAUCUUCCGCAAUGGGCGAAAGCCUGACGGAGCAACGCCGCGUGAGUGAUGAAGGUCUUCGGAUCGUAAAACUCUGUUAUUAGGGAAGAACAAAUGUGUAAGUAACUAUGCACGUCUUGACGGUACCUAAUCAGAAAGCCACGGCUAACUACGUG
RNAcentral lists this ribosomal RNA (497 nucleotides) under uncultured bacterium. RNAcentral's name for it is "partial 16S ribosomal RNA". It matches the Rfam family "Bacterial small subunit ribosomal RNA", at positions 28 to 507 of the family's 1533-position model. The record is from RNAcentral.